This is a small nucleolar RNA of Saimiri boliviensis boliviensis (Bolivian squirrel monkey), 146 nucleotides long. The record is from Ensembl. NCBI's taxonomy places the organism in Eukaryota, Metazoa, Chordata, Mammalia, Primates, Cebidae.
CUACCAAAAGUUACUUUUUUGGGGGGUGGAAAUUUCUUAAAUAACCUCUACCAAUUUGAGCUGUUUUGGAAAAUAAAGAAAAGACCACAGUUAGCAAGUGGUCUCUAUCUCUUAGUACAGUUCACCACUAUUUUGUAGCUUAUAUU